UACGUAGGGGGCAAGCGUUGUCCGGAAUCAUUGGGCGUAAAGCGCGUGUAGGCGGCUGGCUAAGUCCGCUCUGAAAGCCCGGGGCUCAACCCCGGGAGGCGGGUGGAUACUGGUCAGCUCGAGUCCGGAAGAGGAGUGUGGAAUUCCUGGUGUAGCGGUGAAAUGCGCAGAUAUCAGGAGGAACACCAAUGGCGAAGGCAGCACUCUGGGACGGUACUGACGCUGAGGCACGAAAGCGUGGGGAUCAAACAGG
This 253-nucleotide ribosomal RNA is filed under the name uncultured bacterium. RNAcentral's name for it is "partial 16S ribosomal RNA". It matches the Rfam family "Bacterial small subunit ribosomal RNA", at positions 524 to 776 of the family's 1533-position model. The record is from RNAcentral.